This 433-nucleotide ribosomal RNA is filed under the name uncultured bacterium. RNAcentral's name for it is "partial 16S ribosomal RNA". It matches the Rfam family "Bacterial small subunit ribosomal RNA", at positions 29 to 507 of the family's 1533-position model. The record is from RNAcentral.
AGCGAACGCUGGCGGCAGGCCUAACACAUGCAAGUCGAACGAACUCUUCGGAGUUAGUGGCGGACGGGUGAGUAACCCGUGGGAACGUGCCUUUUGGUUCGGAAUAACUCAGGGAAACUUGUGCUAAUACCGAAUGUGCCCUUCGGGGGAAAGAUUUAUCGCCAUUAGAGCGGCCCGCGUCUGAUUAGCUAGUUGGGGAGGUAACGGCUCACCAAGGCGACGAUCAGUAGCUGGUUUGAGAGGCUGACCAGCCACACUGGGACUGAGACACGGCCCAGACUCCUACGGGAGGCAGCAGUGGGGAAUCUUGCGCAAUGGGCGAAAGCAUGACGCAGCCAUGCCGCGUGAAUGAUGAAGGUCUUAGGAUUGUAAAAUUCUUUCACCGGGGACGAUAAUGACGGUACCCGGAGAAGAAGCCCCGGCUAACUUCGUG